CGGCGGGCGUCCUCGCGCGGCCCGCCUCGCCCCGCGGGGGUGCCGGGCGCGCUCCCCCCACCCCCUCCUCCCUCGCGGCGGGGGGCGCGCGGCGGCCGUUGGCGCGGGGCGGCGGCGGCCGCCCCUCAGAGCGGCCGGGCGGGGGGUUGGGGGGGGGGCCGCGGCCCGGUCGCCCCCCCGGCGGCCGCCUCCGCCGCCCUUCCAUCAACACGUGCCGUGGGCGGGAGGGCUGGCGGGGCACCCCGGGAAAAAGUUGGCCGGGAGGAACUAGCCGGGCCUGCUUUUCCUCCCCCGUAGUCCCUCCGCGGGCGGGAGCGCAGGCCGCAGCCAGCCGCCGCCUGAGCGAGCUUGUCGCUAGGCUCCCCGCCCCCAGCCCCGGGACCGAGGCGUUGCCUUGCCCCGCCGCCCAGAAGGGCUCUCCCGGUGCAGAGGGUGGGGGAGCCCCUCUCGGAAAGGCCGGGAAGGUGUCGCGGAGGCACUGCUGGCCGAGCGGAGGGGGUCGAGACGUGAGAAGCGACUGAGGCUGGGCACGGCUGCAGGGCCGGGAAGCUCCAUCCAGAUGCUGGUGGAGUUGGUGCCGUGGAAAAUGGACAAGCUGCCAGGAUUCACAGAGUGAGAUCUCCCAGCAGCAGUGCAGAAGGAGCUUUAAUGACAGUAUGUCAUAUGACAAGGAGACCGCACAGUUCCCACCUGGGCUGCUGUUUUUAAUCUUUCACUCAAAAAAGUGGCAGCAGUUGUGUUGUUGACGUGGUCUUGCCUUCCACUUGUCCUGUCACUUGGUUAUUCUGCGUCACGAAUGCAAAGCCGACUAUAGGGGGAAGUGAAGAUCAUAUGGAUGAUACAAACCUACUCAGUUUCCAUUUACUGCAGACCAAAACACCCUUUAGGCCUUCAGGACACACCAGCAAUUGCCAGUGUCAAGAUGCCUGCCCAGAUAAACUUUCUAGAGAAUAACCAAUUGGGAAGCGAUCUCCACUUGUCGGUGCCAAAUAGCCACAUGUGCAUAUACUGUGGGAAACACGGGCUUGUUUAUUCUGUUGACCUCUCCACAGCCUAGUUCCGUUUUUGCGUGCUGGUAUCAGACAGGACUUGUAAAUGUUCUGUACUCCACUCCAGAGUGUUGUCAUCUCUGAAUGUAAGAUGAGAGCACUGGCUCUGCAAUAUCGUUCACAAGUGUUAUGCCCAUGGAUCGUUAGGUGAGUGCUUAGCUUGCAUACCAUCCUAUAUGGCAAAAGAGGAAGUAAAAUUUCAAACCUAUCAACUUCCCGGAGUCGUUUAAAAUGUAGGCAGUUAAAGGCACACCUACUAAGUGUAGGUGGCCAGAUACUACGGUGAUAGGCAUUUAAAAAUACAGGUCUUGUCUUACUAGACAUUUAGAAAAUUUUUUCCGAUGACCAUCAUCCCGAAAAAUCUGUCUGUUCAAAACAAAAGACAGCCUGCAAGAAAGACAAAUUCACAGCUUUCAUGCCAAGCAAUACAGAACUUGUAUGCUGAUGUUUAUAAUUUCAAAGGAAAAUAUGAGCCUGCUGUUCUUCCACUCUGUCUACUAUCAGAUUAUAGCAACAGAAUAGACACUCAAUAUGGAAGAAGAAUGCAACAUGCAUGUGUGUGCUCCCAACCAGAACCAAAGCUGUUAGAGCUAGCAUCUCUUUAAGUAAUAAUCUGUGUGGUAAUACAGCCCUGUUCUUUUCGGAGGUUGGAUAUUGAUUUAAAUCCAGUAUGCAUGAAUUUAGCAAAAGCCACUAGCCUUGAAAUUUAUUUGAUCCCUUGUGUGAAAUGGAUCAACUAUUUUCAUCCAAUUCCCGGUGAGUAAACUUGCACACUGCAGAAACUGCCAUCUCAGCUAGUACUUUUCAAGGCACUCGGGCACUGAAGAUAGCACAAGUGAUAGUCCCUGUUAGGUCAGAAAUAGUGUUGCUGGGGAUGAAGUUUGCAUUGCCAUAGCCAAUAUGCCUGUUCUCUGUGUAAAUGAGCACUGUGUAAAUACUUGUCUUAACCACAGAAUAAAGUCAGUAAAAGUAAAGUACAUUAUAACAAUAUUAGGGCUGCAGGAGACAGAACUGUGUGUUGAUCUACAAUGAUGAAUCGUAGCAACCUUAGAAAGCGUUCAGAUUGUGAUAGAUGUCUGAUGAAACAUCACAUGGAAAGUACUGGUGUCUUUCAAAACAGUGCAGUACUUAAAAUAUGUUUCCAAUUUCAUACAGGUAUAAACUGUCAUUUUCAAAACAUACAGAUUUAUGUAUGAAAACAAUAGAACUUCUGAACAGAGAGCAGCUUCUGUGACUGCUUAGGAAAUCAAUGAAGUCUCCAACAACCACCAGCCACGUGCGAUCCUUAAGAAUGCCACUUAAAAUGUCAAACCCACAUGAACUAGAAGUUGCUGGAAUUUGUAGAACUCAGACAUUUGCCUUGUAGGCAAUGGGCAUUUCCGUCUGAAGGAGUUAGAGUUUGUUAUUACCAAACCAUUCCAAAGCUCCAAACGAGGUUUAUAAGUUCUGAGAAAUGUGAUCCCUACCUGCCCCAUCUCACAGAGCUUUUUGAAGUCUACAUUAGAAAGAAAUGCCUAACAAACCCACUUAGUUGAAACCUCUACAUUCAUCAUCUGCUCAGUGUACAAUUUUUGUGUUUUUGAGGUCAGCCUAUACAUACACUGCUGUCCUUCCUGUAAGGACCAUCAGCCAUAGGUUGCAGCAGUACUUUUCUAUAGCUUUUCUUAGCAUAGUUCUUGCUGACUACACUGAAGAGCCAACACAAAGAGACAAGAGAAAGCACCAGAGAGAUAUCACUCACAGCAUGCCCCGAGACCAGAAUUCCCCACACAGUGAAAUCUCUGGCAGUUUAAAUUUUGGAACAUGAAGGAUUCUUCCAGAAUGCCAGCACAGCAUGGGAUUAAUGCAACGCUGAACCUGGCAAGACUUAGGUUCCACAGUUCCAUGGAAACCUUUUGCUUUCUGGAGCCCAGGAAGCCUUCCAGGUGAUCCUAAACUGCAGGCA
Molecule: long non-coding RNA, 2994 nt
Organism: Aquila chrysaetos chrysaetos
Lineage: Eukaryota; Metazoa; Chordata; Aves; Accipitriformes; Accipitridae
Exons: 7
Source: RefSeq, a predicted model, not a curated record